UUUUAUUCAAGCUUAUGGUUAAUCAUUGCUGAUUGCCAUGAAAAAUUUUACUCUGUACAUCUUGCAUGUAUAAGUCAGGUAUGAAAGGCUGAUCACCUUCAUUACCAGUUGGUCCAGAUAUAUUUGUUCAUGUCUAAUACUUGUUCAGUCAAAAGUUUGUUCGUGCUAGUUCUCAAUUAUAUUGAUGAAUUAUAGUCAGCCUUUUAUUCAUACUCU
RNAcentral lists this long non-coding RNA (216 nucleotides) under Panax ginseng (ginseng). RNAcentral's name for it is "long non-coding RNA (PGIN_LNC002011)". Lineage: Eukaryota; Viridiplantae; Streptophyta; Magnoliopsida; Apiales; Araliaceae. The record is from RNAcentral.